This 87-nucleotide transfer RNA is filed under the name bacterium. RNAcentral's name for it is "tRNA-Leu". It matches the Rfam family "tRNA". Rfam says of the family: Transfer RNA (tRNA) molecules are approximately 80 nucleotides in length. Their secondary structure includes four short double-helical elements and three loops (D, anti-codon, and T loops). Further hydrogen bonds mediate the characteristic L-shaped molecular structure. tRNAs have two regions of fundamental functional importance: the anti-codon, which is responsible for specific mRNA codon recognition, and the 3' end, to which the tRNAs corresponding amino acid is attached (by aminoacyl-tRNA synthetases). tRNAs cope with the degeneracy of the genetic code in two manners: having more than one tRNA (with a specific anti-codon) for a particular amino acid; and 'wobble' base-pairing, i.e. permitting non-standard base-pairing at the 3rd anti-codon position. The record is from RNAcentral.
GCCGGAGUGGUGGAAUUGGUAGACGCGCCGGACUCAAAAUCCGGUGCUGGCGACAGCGUGCGAGUUCGAUUCUCGCCUCCGGCACCA